GUACUUCCUGGGGGCGGAGAGGAAGGAUUUAAAGUGGGAGAGUAGAGAACGCCUACACACUUAAUCGGAUGCAGACUUUACAACUUUAUGGUGGGUUGAAAAAACUGGACGACGUAGUGCAGGAUGUGUCUUACCACAGGGAGGGUCUGUGUGUGAUGGAGAGCAGAGAGAUGCCGGCGUCCUUGGCAGCCUGGAAAAUCUUUCCCUCCACGUCGAUGCUCACAGCGCUGGUGCACUCAUCCAGCAGCGCAUACUUAGGCCUGAAAUACACAGGGAAGUAGCUUUAACAAUUGCUAUCAUAAGACUCUACAGCCACUUGAGCAGCACUGUGAGGAUGUACUUUGAGCUAUAUACUCGCAUGGUAACAUUCUCACAAUGAUAAUGCUAAUAUAUCGAUUCUGCUUAUCAGUCUGAUUCUUUUUUGACUCCCUUAUUGAUCCCUUAUCCGAUUUUCUGCGUCAAGUCAGCUGUUUUAUUAUCGCAGUGUAAAACAAGAGUAGAGUUUCUUUGUAAAAUGCAGCCACACUUUAGACUGUUUCUUCCUCCUCGCCAUGACGACUUGUUGUUGCAAGUUUCCAGCACGAGUUUGACAUCAGACUGGCAUUGAUAUAAGAAACUGAUAAGCUGUUAGGCAAACGGUUCCAAUGCAUAAGACAAUUUGGAACCAGAUCUCAACUAUUGAUUUCCAUCCCUAAUGUUUAACAAUCUUAGUUUCAUGUGUUAGCAUGUUAGCAUUUGCUAAUUAACACUCAACCCUAGAAAGUAGUAGACAAACACUUUUGAACUGAUGGUAGCGCUAGAUGAAAAGUUAGGGGAUCACCCAAUUCAGUCCAAAGCAAUCUGUUUGUCUGUAUAAAAUUGAAUGGCAAUCCAUCAGAUAGCUGUAGAGAUGAUUCAGUUUGGACCAAAGUGGUGGACCAACAAAGACACUGGCAUCCCUAGAGCCACUAGCAUAGCUAACACAGGCUUAAAGAAGUAAAGUGUGUAGUUUGCACUGCAGGUGUGGUAAUGUUGAGUGUAAACUGGGCUCAGUGUAAUGCCAGACAACAAUCUUCUGCUUCUCCUUACUUUUGGUAGAACAUGCGAGCCAUGCCCAUCCUCUGCUUCUCGCCUCCAGACAGCACGUCCUUCCAGUCCAGCUCAGCAUCCCAGCCUGGACGCAAAAGAAGACAUCACAUAAGCUUAGAAACACUCUUUACAAAGAGGUUAUUUAAAGAUAGUGAUAUAUUUGGGAUUAUAGAUGCUGGAAGCAAACAUUUUCCCAGUUUUAACCACAUCAGGGUGGAGAUGUCUGGGGCACAGGAAUGUUCCAGUGAAAUCCCAGUCAAAGAAAGUGCAUAGUAAUAUUUUAUGGAAGAGGAAACUCUGGAAUAUAAUAGUCAGUUAAUAGAGCAAUGUAAUGAAUAAUUAAAAUGUAAACAGAGAUGUUCUACAGACUGUUACAGCCAUUACUGAUGUUUGUUAAAAGGCUUCAGCGGUAUAGGUACAGCAUUCUGUGUGAUAUUUACUUAACAGGACAUCCUUUGCCGAUAUAAUGCAUGUGUUCCUCCAUAAGUGAGCUCAUUUGGUUGUGCGAUCAAGACCUUUCUCAACAUUUUCACAGUGCAGCCAUUCAUAAAUUAAAGCCUCUUGGAGCUCUAAGCUCUCUACAGUAGUUGGCUCAAAACAAUAGGUCUGUUUGUCUGGCAAUGAGAGGAGAGUGGCUGCCAAUUAGCCACAGAUUUAAGUUUAGGCAAUAAAAGUAAUACCCUAAUGCAUAACAUCAAGUUCUGGUGCUGGUACACAUACUAUACAUAACUUAGUCUGUUUUAUCUCAAAACACCGGCAUAACUGUGCCGCAGUUACAAUUUGCAGUACACAUUUUGCCAAUGUUUAAAUGGUUUGAAAGUUAGAAAUUAAAAUUCUUUACAUUAACAUACAUUAAUUGUGACCUAAUUCUUCAAUGCUGGUUAUUUUGUCUUUUUCGUUCAGUUAUUUUUGCUAACUAAUGGUUAUUUUGUAGAUGUUGUUUAGACGAUGGAAGGUUUAAGUUGUCACAAAGUGUUGCUUGAGCUUUUUUUAUGUGUUUUUGUAAGUUCUUCAAUCUCCUACUUUCCCUUGAAACACACAGCUCCACAUCUUUGUCUUUAUUACUGUCCUACCUCCUUCUCUGGUUACAAUGUGGUUGAGGUUGACUAUGUCCAAGAUGGCAUCCAGGUCUUUGUCACUGAGGCCUCUAGCAGCCAUGUCCUCCGCUGAGUCUGGGUAGAUCACCUGGUCCCGCAGUGAACCCAUGGACAUGUAUGGCCUGAAGAAAGACACACACACACCUUAUCAACUGAGUAUUCCUUUGUUAACACCUCAUUUAAGUGCUUUGGACACUAAAGAAAAGAACAUGUUGGCAAAGAGGGUGUGUGUGUACAAAGAGGCACAUCUUUUUACACACUUAAGGAACAAAUACGAAAAGAGAAGACACCCAUUGUGCUUCUGCUGUUUCUAUUGUACUCAGUGUGUUGGAUUCUGUUACAGCUGGCAGGCUGCUGUCUCAUCCUAUACAUAAAAUAUUCACCGCUCUGCGGGAGGGAGUCAGCUGAGUCUGCUGCUGUAAGUAGCUGGGUUUAGAUUACACUUGAUGGUGUGUCUUUGACUGGUUUUAGUUCAGUUUAACGGCUACAGUUCUGCUGCUACCUUGUGAGAGGAACAAUUGAUCAUCUUACUUGUUAAGAGUUGAGACCACUGACACCACAUUCACCCAUGUGUCAUCAAUAGAUGCUAAAUAUAAUCUCUUUACCAUGCACUACUGAGACUAGCAUUUAUGUCCACAAUUAUUUUCACCACUGAUUAAUCUGUUUAUUCUCUUAAUUAACAUAGUGCUGGUUGAUAUCUGGAUUUUUCAUAUAGGAACAUAUUGCUGAAACAACUGCUGUAACUCAUUUGUGUCUUGUGCAAUACAACAUUUGAGAAAAUUCUCUUAAAUACUUAAAUAUUUUAAGUAUUUCAUGUCAAUUUAUAGUGUUUCUACAACCAUUUCAAAGUAUUUUGUUUUGAAAAAAAAAUAUUUUUGGCCUUUGUUAAGCCCCGGAAAGAAAGCACUGUUAAAGUAGUAUCUUUUUUAUUUUUAAGUUCUGUUUUUACUAUGUUGCAGUUUGCAAAAUAAAAAAUGUUUACAUUCUGCAA
Molecule: long non-coding RNA, 3156 nt
Organism: Dicentrarchus labrax (European seabass)
Lineage: Eukaryota; Metazoa; Chordata; Actinopteri; Moronidae
Exons: 2
Source: RefSeq, a predicted model, not a curated record